Molecule: long non-coding RNA, 790 nt
Filed under: Homo sapiens (human)
Lineage: Eukaryota; Metazoa; Chordata; Mammalia; Primates; Hominidae
Description: HSALNT0279324
Source: RNAcentral
CCAACACCUGCUCCUUCCCAGACCCUCAUCCCCCUGCCCCAGUCUCGCUCUUCAGCGCACCCCCGGCACCUCCAUUGCGUCCCCUCCCCCCACCUCCUCGUAGCGCCCCCAUCUGCUCCCCGCCCCCGCCCGCCGGGGAAAGCCCAGCUGACGCUUCCGGCACCGCCCCCUUCCCGGCAGGGCCGCUCCCCGCCCUUCCCGCCCGCGGGAGCAACACCGCCCCCCGCGCCCCACCCCGCGCCCCGCCGCCCGCCCGGGUCCCCCAAGCCCGCUCUGCGCAGGGCGGGGUCCUUCCUCUGCAAAGGGCGGACCGAAGACCCGGGCGCCGGGCAGAGGCUGGAGGGGGGCCCGGGUGGGGUGAAUCCCCAGUGGGUGCCCGCUCCCCACCCCCACCGCGACCACCAGCCCCCGCUCCGAGCAGGGACUCCGAGGCUUGCGGGUGACCCUCGAGUGGUGGCCGCCCUGUGGCCCAGAGAGCCCCGUCGCAGGCAGGUUCUCGCCCAAGGCAGGGCCCUCCCCUCCUCCCCCAAGCGGCACGUGAGCCCUGUUCAGGGACAGCAGAGCCACCAGCCCAGGACCGGACCUGCUGCCUCUGCGGACCUCGGCAGCCCUGGUCACUCCCGGCUCUGGCAGGACAGGUGCAAACUCAGUGGUAAAGGUCCGUCCUGAUUAAUGAGACAAACCCACGCCCGUUCUCCUCCUGAUUACCUACAAUGGUCAAUUUUAUUACAAAGAACUGUAUCAAAAUAUACAAGUCUGUUUAAGAACAACCAAGAAAUGCAGCUGUUUA